UGGUUUCUGACGAUAUAACGUUGUUUUUAUAUUUUACCCGCAGGAAAUCACAGAUGGCGCUGCAGGGUUAUCGAUGGGCCCGAAUAUUUUUAAUUAUUUUAUUUUCUUCAAAAAUUUGGUAUAUUAAAAUUAUCUGCAACAUUUAUUUUUGAUAUAUUAUAAUUAUAUUGUUUAAAUUUUGGGAUCAAACAAGUCGAUCGAUUGUUGUCGUUGAUUCGGCGAAUUUAUGGUUUGGUAGAUUUUUUCUAGUUUGGCAACUUUGUUCGUGGGUUUUGUGUCAGACUGACAGCUGGCUGAGCUGAGACAGGUUUUGGAAAGUGGGGACGUCGCGAGAGCGCCGGAGACUCCAUUGCCGAAACCCAAAUGUGGGCAAAUUAAAGCCACAAUGUAUUGGCGGCAUCAAGAGCCGAUGUAACCAUUUAUAUAAAUAACUUAACCGAGAUGCAACAUCACUGAAAUCCCAUCGCCUAAGGUCCAGUGGGUGGGAUUAGGUUUCAUCCGAGCGAUGCCCAACUAUCCCGGAUGAACCUAUGGGGUUUUAAUUGUUUUUAAAGUUUUAAAGGUUUAAAGUUUUGAGUUUUUUUAAAGUUUUGAGUUUUAAAAGUUUUUAAAGUUUUUUGUUUUGCUUUAAGUUUUUAACGUUUUGAAGUUUUAACGUUUUUGCAAGUUUUUAACGUCGAACGUUUUGCAAGUUUUAAUCUAAGAAGAAGUUUAUGAUUGGAUCAGACUAUUUCAACAAAUUUUGUGAAUGAAGAUUGCUACUGUUUUCUUCUGCGUUUGCAAGUUAUUUCAAGCUUCAUUUCGGCGGAGCUUGCCUUGGUUGUUUGCACGACGAAGCUUUCCUUUGUGCGGCGCGCAUGUGGAUGUGCCGCGCCUCUCCUUUUGUCAACACACCGGAUAAGGCCCGGUGAAGGUCUGCGAGGUUGACCGGUGGACGUGCAGCCCGCCAGCUGCGUAACAGUUGGCCCGCUGCGCCGCCAUCGUCCAGCACGCCCUGGCCUGAGCCGGCCUCAACUCAUCACCUGUACAGUAUUCCGGAACGCCUCAGGUAGGCCUGAUAGUCGGAGGUCCUCGAGUAAGUGAGGUGCCUACAGGUGUACGGACAGUGUUUUUAAAUAUAGUGAUAUCCCAUGGUUGUUACGGAGUGACAAUUAACCUGACGGACCAAAGCGCGACCUGUCUCCCUCCAUAGGGUUUUUGACCUACCUAUGGUUAAUGAAAUUUGUAGAUUUAAAAAAUAUACAUUGUACAAAUUCAA
Molecule: long non-coding RNA, 1258 nt
Filed under: Pectinophora gossypiella (pink bollworm)
Lineage: Eukaryota; Metazoa; Arthropoda; Insecta; Lepidoptera; Gelechiidae
Description: uncharacterized LOC126380758
Source: RNAcentral